AGGCGCACCUGGUGCAGAUCGUCAGAGCGCGCACUGGAGAGCAGUGGGCAGAAGCACUGCACUUUAAAACAGACUGCUGGAUGGAGUAGAUCGGUGGUGCAGAGGACAAUCUAAAAGAAACCGAAGAGGCAGCCGAAGCUCCUCUCAGAUUCAGACCUCAUCACCACUGACUACAUGGAGGACUCAUCCUGUGUGCUCCGUUUUCAUCCACUCUCAGUGCACUUCUUUGUCUUCAUAUUGGAGGAUAUCUCUUCAGUCAUUUGUAGAACAUGCAUUAAUAUAAAAUCUCAUUGUUGGCAAGGAAGUGACACUUGUCUGAUAAGUGCAUCAUAACUGAACGAUAAUAUAAAGCACUGAUCUUCUCAUGUGUCUGUAUCACACUCUGACUCACCUAACUUAAAUGUCCUUUAAACUUAUUUUCACUCA
Notolabrus celidotus (New Zealand spotty) is the source of this 426-nucleotide long non-coding RNA. RefSeq lists it as uncharacterized. The transcript is spliced from 2 exons. The record is from RefSeq and is a predicted model, not a curated record. Lineage: Eukaryota; Metazoa; Chordata; Actinopteri; Labriformes; Labridae.